This 520-nucleotide ribosomal RNA is filed under the name uncultured bacterium. Its description in RNAcentral is "bacterial SSU rRNA". It matches the Rfam family "Bacterial small subunit ribosomal RNA", at positions 8 to 518 of the family's 1533-position model. The record is from RNAcentral.
AGAGUUUGAUUCUGGCUCAGGAUGAACGCUAGCUACAGGCUUAACACAUGUAAGUCGAGGGGCAGCAUGUGGUUGCUUGCAACCAAUGAUGGCGACCGGCGCACGGUGAGUAACGCGUAUCCAACCUUCCCUAUAGUAGAGGAUAGCCCGGCGAAAGUCGGAUUAAUACUCUAUGUUUUCCAAUGCAGACAUCUAAAAUGGAACAAAGGUUUACCGCUAUAGGAUGGGGAUGCGUCUGAUUAGAUAGUCGGCGGGGUAACGGCCCACCGAGUCGACGAUCAGUAGGGGUUCUGAGAGGAAGGUCCCCCACAUUGGAACUGAGACACGGUCCAAACUCCUACGGGAGGCAGCAGUGAGGAAUAUUGGUCAAUGGGCGAGAGCCUGAACCAGCCAAGUAGCGUGCCAGGAUGACGGCCCUAUGGGUUGUAAACUGCUUUUAUACAGGGAUAAAGUGACGUACGUGUACGUUAUUGUAGGUACUGUAUGAAUAAGGACCGGCUAAUUCCGUGCCAGCCGCAGC